GGCGAUUCUUGGGUGAUGCACCCCAGGAUCUGGCUCCCUCCUCUCUGGUUCUGGGUGCAUCACCCGAGAACUGCA
Non-coding RNA from Myotis brandtii (Brandt's bat), 75 nucleotides. The record is from Rfam. Lineage: Eukaryota; Metazoa; Chordata; Mammalia; Chiroptera; Vespertilionidae.